AGCUCCAAUAGCGUAUAUUAGAAUUGCUGCAGUUAAAACGCUCGUAGUUUAUUGAUGGGGGUGGGAUGUGCGGGGAAGGAAUUCCCAGUGCAUCUCGCUCCUUUUGCGGGGAUAAGACACGCUCUUUCUCCCCGCGCUUACUUUGAAGAAAUUAAAGCGUUCAAAGCAUGCACACGCCUUGAAUACGUCAGCAUGGAAUAACGGAAAAACUCGGGUUUUUUGUUGGUUAGCAGCACGAGUGAUUGAUAGGGACAGUUGGGGGCAUUAGUAUUUGCCAGUCAGAGGUGAAAUUCUUGGAUUUGGCAAAGACUAACUAGUGCGAAAGCAUCUGCCAAGGAUGUUUUCA
RNAcentral lists this ribosomal RNA (346 nucleotides) under uncultured eukaryote. RNAcentral's name for it is "SSU rRNA". It matches the Rfam family "Eukaryotic small subunit ribosomal RNA", at positions 587 to 972 of the family's 1831-position model. The record is from RNAcentral.